GAUGAAGAACGUAGCGAAAUGCGAUAAGUAGUGUGAAUUGCAGAAUUCAGUGAAUCAUCGAAUAUUUGAACGCACAUUGCGCCCUUUGGUAUUCCAAAGGGCAUGCCUGUUCGAGCGUCAUUUGUACCCUCAAGCUUUGCUUGGUGUUGGGCGUCUUGUCUCUAGCUUUGCUGGAGACUCGCCUUAAAGUAAUUGGCAGCCGGCCUACUGGUUUCGGAGCGCAGCACAAGUCGCACUCUCUAUCAGCAAAGGUCUAGCAUCCAUUAAGCCUUUUUUUCAACUUUUGACCUCGGAUCAGGUAGGGAUACCCGCUGAACUUAAGCAUAUCAAUAAGCGGAGGA
Molecule: unclassified non-coding RNA, 341 nt
Filed under: soil metagenome
Description: partial contains 5.8S ribosomal RNA, internal transcribed spacer 2, and large subunit ribosomal RNA
Rfam family: 5.8S ribosomal RNA (bases 1-120)
Source: RNAcentral